AUAGCAAUUAUAAAAGACAUAUCAAUUUGCUCAUUUAGAAGAUAUUACUAUUCAUAAUAUUUCAUCACACAUAUAUGAGUCAUUUUUCAUAUCUUAUAAUUAAAAUAUUUUAAUUGAUCCCAUUCAUAAACAUUAAUCCAAAGACAUUCAUUGAAAUUCAAAGCAUAAAAAAUGUAUAUAUCAAAAUGUGACUGAAUACAUUAAGUCAAAAUACAUAGAUCAUACAAAAGUCAUGGAUAACAACUAUCCAAGAGUCAAUCAGCCAACAAAAUACAAAGGCCAUAAGAUAGAUCCUAGACAAAAAUAAAAAAAGAUUAACUAUUCUAGAUCUAAUAGAUAUCAUGGCU
Molecule: long non-coding RNA, 347 nt
Filed under: Elaeis guineensis (African oil palm)
Lineage: Eukaryota; Viridiplantae; Streptophyta; Magnoliopsida; Arecales; Arecaceae
Description: long non-coding RNA (EGUI_LNC074019)
Source: RNAcentral